This 343-nucleotide long non-coding RNA is filed under the name Pan troglodytes (chimpanzee). RNAcentral describes it as "long non-coding RNA NONPTRT005576". The record is from RNAcentral. Lineage: Eukaryota; Metazoa; Chordata; Mammalia; Primates; Hominidae.
UGUCCCAGGAAAGCAGGAGUCACAGGACACAACUGGACCCAGGUUAUUCAAGGACACGGAAAAGCCAACACCAUGGUAGCAUUAAUGAAAGUUUACCAAGAGGAAGAUGAAGCCUACCAGGAGUUAGUUACCGUGGCAACCAUGUUUUUCCAGUACUUACUGCAGCCAUUUAGGGCUAUGCGAGAAGUUGCAACUUUAUAAGUCCUUGGAUGAGGAUGACCUAGGUCCUAGAAGGGUAGUUGCCCUGGAGAAAGAAGCUGAAGAAUGGACCAGACGGGCUGAAGAAGCUGUCGUCUCUAUUCAAGAUAUCACAGUGAAUUAUUUUAAGGAGACAGUAAAAGCA